This 460-nucleotide ribosomal RNA is filed under the name uncultured bacterium. RNAcentral's name for it is "partial 16S ribosomal RNA". It matches the Rfam family "Bacterial small subunit ribosomal RNA", at positions 338 to 795 of the family's 1533-position model. The record is from RNAcentral.
CCUACGGGUGGCAGCAGUGAGGAAUAUUGGUCAAUGGCCGGAAGGCUGAACCAGCCAUGCCGCGUGAAGGUCAGUGCCCUAUGGGCGUUAAACUUCUUUUGUGCGGGAGCAAUAAUGGUCAAGUGUGGCCAGACGAGAGUACCGUACGAAUAAGCCUCGGCUUACCUCGUGCCAGCAGCCGCGGUUAUACGGGGGAUGCAAGCGUUUUCCGGAUUUAUUGGGUUUAAAGGGUGCGUAGGCGGUGAGGUAAGUCAGCGGGGAAAUGCCCCCGCUCAACGGGGUGAAGUGCCAUUGAUACUGGCUGGCUGGAAUGCGGAUGCCGUGGGAGGAAUGUGUGGUGUAGCGGUGAAAUGCAUAGAUAUCACGCAGAACACCGAUUGCGAAGGCAUCUCACGAGUCCGCGAUUGACGCUGAUGCACGAAAGCGUGGGUAUCAAACAGGAUUAGAUACCCUUGUAGUC